UGUAAAGGGAUAGGAAUCGAACCCACGACCUUCCGGUUACCGGGCAGAUGCCAUGACCACUAGGCUACCCUGGAC
This 75-nucleotide transfer RNA is filed under the name Cordylochernes scorpioides. RNAcentral's name for it is "tRNA-Thr". The record is from RNAcentral. Lineage: Eukaryota; Metazoa; Arthropoda; Arachnida; Pseudoscorpiones; Chernetidae.